This 420-nucleotide ribosomal RNA is filed under the name Buccinum tsubai. RNAcentral describes it as "partial 16S rRNA". It matches the Rfam family "Bacterial large subunit ribosomal RNA", at positions 1966 to 2597 of the family's 2925-position model. Lineage: Eukaryota; Metazoa; Mollusca; Gastropoda; Neogastropoda; Buccinidae. The record is from RNAcentral.
CAUUUGCCUUAUAAUUGAAGGCUAGUAUGAAUGGUUUGACAAGAAUGUAGCUGUCUCUUUAUAAUUAAACAGAAUUUUAUUUAUAGGUGAAGAAGCCUACAUCAAAUUAAAAGACAAGAAGACCCUAUCGAGCUUGAAAUAAAUUAGUAGGCUAAAUAAUUAAUGAUAUCAGAAAAUUAACUAUUAGAAAUUUUAGUUGGGGCGACUGAGGAACAAAAAAAGCUUCCUUUAAAAAUGAAAAACUAAACAAGUAUUGAUCCAAAACAUUUUGAUUAAAGGAAUUAGUUACCGUAGGGAUAACAGCAUUAUCUUUUUUAAGAGCUCUUAUCGAAAAAAAGGUUUGUGACCUCGAUGUUGGACCAGAAUAUCCUAAAGAUGCAGCAGUCUUUAAGGGUUGGUCUGUUCGACCAUUAAAAUUCU